Molecule: ribosomal RNA, 1011 nt
Filed under: Salmonella enterica subsp. enterica serovar Typhimurium
Lineage: Bacteria; Pseudomonadati; Pseudomonadota; Gammaproteobacteria; Enterobacterales; Enterobacteriaceae
Description: bacterial SSU rRNA
Rfam family: Bacterial small subunit ribosomal RNA
Source: RNAcentral
CUUGCUGCUUCGCUGACGAGUGGCGGACGGGUGAGUAAUGUCUGGGAAACUGCCUGAUGGAGGGGGAUAACUACUGGAAACGGUGGCUAAUACCGCAUAACGUCGCAAGACCAAAGAGGGGGACCUUCGGGCCUCUUGCCAUCAGAUGUGCCCAGAUGGGAUUAGCUUGUUGGUGAGGUAACGGCUCACCAAGGCGACGAUCCCUAGCUGGUCUGAGAGGAUGACCAGCCACACUGGAACUGAGACACGGUCCAGACUCCUACGGGAGGCAGCAGUGGGGAAUAUUGCACAAUGGGCGCAAGCCUGAUGCAGCCAUGCCGCGUGUAUGAAGAAGGCCUUCGGGUUGUAAAGUACUUUCAGCGGGGAGGAAGGUGUUGUGGUUAAUAACCGCAGCAAUUGACGUUACCCGCAGAAGAAGCACCGGCUAACUCCGUGCCAGCAGCCGCGGUAAUACGGAGGGUGCAAGCGUUAAUCGGAAUUACUGGGCGUAAAGCGCACGCAGGCGGUCUGUCAAGUCGGAUGUGAAAUCCCCGGGCUCAACCUGGGAACUGCAUUCGAAACUGGCAGGCUUGAGUCUUGUAGAGGGGGGUAGAAUUCCAGGUGUAGCGGUGAAAUGCGUAGAGAUCUGGAGGAAUACCGGUGGCGAAGGCGGCCCCCUGGACAAAGACUGACGCUCAGGUGCGAAAGCGUGGGGAGCAAACAGGAUUAGAUACCCUGGUAGUCCACGCCGUAAACGAUGUCUACUUGGAGGUUGUGCCCUUGAGGCGUGGCUUCCGGAGCUAACGCGUUAAGUAGACCGCCUGGGGAGUACGGCCGCAAGGUUAAAACUCAAAUGAAUUGACGGGGGCCCGCACAAGCGGUGGAGCAUGUGGUUUAAUUCGAUGCAACGCGAAGAACCUUACCUGGUCUUGACAUCCACAGAACAUUCCAGAGAUGGAUUGGUGCCUUCGGGAACUGUGAAACAGGUGCUGCAUGGCUGUCGUCAGCUCGUGUUGUGAAAUGUUGGGUUAA